RNAcentral lists this ribosomal RNA (253 nucleotides) under uncultured bacterium. Its description in RNAcentral is "partial 16S ribosomal RNA". It matches the Rfam family "Bacterial small subunit ribosomal RNA", at positions 524 to 776 of the family's 1533-position model. The record is from RNAcentral.
UACGGGGGGAGCAAGCGUUGUUCGGAUUUACUGGGCGUAAAGGGCUCGUAGGCGGCCAACUAAGUCAGACGUGAAAUCCCUCAGCUUAACCGGGGAACUGCAUCUGAUACUGGAUGGCUUGAGUUCGGGAGAGGGAUGCGGAAUUCCAGGUGUAGCGGUGAAAUGCGUAGAUAUCUGGAGGAACACCGGUGGCGAAGGCGGCAUCCUGGACCGACACUGACGCUGAGGAGCGAAAGCCAGGGGAGCAAACGGG